RNAcentral lists this ribosomal RNA (520 nucleotides) under uncultured Glomus. RNAcentral's name for it is "SSU rRNA". It matches the Rfam family "Eukaryotic small subunit ribosomal RNA", at positions 569 to 1092 of the family's 1831-position model. The record is from RNAcentral. Lineage: Eukaryota; Fungi; Glomeromycota; Glomeromycetes; Glomerales; Glomeraceae.
AGCAGCCGCGGUAAUUCCAGCUCCAAUAGCGUAUAUUAAAGUUGUUGCAGUUAAAAAGCUCGUAGUUGAAUUUCGGGACCAAUAUGUCUGUCGUACCUUCGGUACGUACGGGUAUAAUUGGUUCCUACCUUCUGAUGAACCUUGAUGCCAUUAAUUUGGUGUCUUGGGGACUCAGGACUGUUACCUUGAAAAAAUUAGAGUGUUUAAAGCAGGCAUGCGCUUGAAUACAUUAGCAUGGAAUAAUGAAAUAGGACGUUCGAUUCUAUUUUGUUGGUUUCUAGGAUCGACGUAAUGAUUAAUAGGGAUAGUUGGGGGCAUUAGUAUUCAAUUGUCAGAGGUGAAAUUCUUGGAUUUAUUGAAGACUAACUACUGCGAAAGCAUUUGCCAAGGAUGUUUUCAUUAAUCAAGAACGAAAGUUAGGGGAUCGAAGACGAUCAGAUACCGUCGUAGUCUUAACCAUAAACUAUGCCGACUAGGGAUCGGAUGAUGUAAUUUUUAAUGACUCAUUCGGCGCCUUAAC